This 53-nucleotide transfer RNA is filed under the name Stigmochelys pardalis (leopard tortoise). RNAcentral's name for it is "partial transfer RNA-Ser". Lineage: Eukaryota; Metazoa; Chordata; Testudines; Testudinidae. The record is from RNAcentral.
GAGAGAGGUAUUACACAAUAAGAACUGCUAAUUCCUAUAUCUGAGAUUAGCCC